GUGAAGCCGCGAAUGGCUCAUUACAACAGCCACUGUUUACUUGAUCUUGAUUAUCCUACUUGGAUAACUGUGGUAAUUCUAGAGCUAAUACACGCAAUAAAGCUCCGACCUUACGGGACGAGCGCAUUUAUUAGACCAAAACCAAUCGGGCCUCGGCCUGAACGGUGGUGACUCUGAAUAACUGAGCUGAUCGCAUGGUCUUUGUACCGGCGACGCAUCUUUCAAGUGUCUGCCUUAUCAACUUUCGAUGGUAGUUUAUGUGCCUACCAUGGUUGUUACGGGUAACGGAGAAUAAGGGUUCGACUCCGGAGAGGGAGCCUGAGAAACGGCUACCACAUCCAAGGAAGGCAGCAGGCGCGCAAAUUACCCACUCUCGGCACGAGGAGGUAGUGACGAAAAAUAACGAGGCGGUUCUCUAAGAGGCCCGCUAUCGGAAUGGGUACAAUUUAAA
RNAcentral lists this ribosomal RNA (451 nucleotides) under unidentified nematode Sourhope farm. RNAcentral describes it as "SSU rRNA". It matches the Rfam family "Eukaryotic small subunit ribosomal RNA", at positions 81 to 529 of the family's 1831-position model. Lineage: Eukaryota; Metazoa; Nematoda. The record is from RNAcentral.